RNAcentral lists this long non-coding RNA (1167 nucleotides) under Brassica napus (rape). RNAcentral's name for it is "long non-coding RNA (BNAP_LNC013232)". The record is from RNAcentral. Lineage: Eukaryota; Viridiplantae; Streptophyta; Magnoliopsida; Brassicales; Brassicaceae.
AGCUAACAUAAUCUGGUGAUUACAUUUAUAUAUUAAGCAAUCUUUGAGGAGAAAACAUUGAGUUCAUAAGAAGGACAAAGCUUCUCCAUAAGUAGGAUAAGGCAGAAGAAUGACCACAAAUUGACAGUAAAGAUGAUUUGAAAUUCUUUAAAAAAGUAGAGUUGCCCAUGCAGCAAUGAACGCAAAGCCUCGGAAUGGUGCCAAGGUAGAAAACUUCUUGUCCUCGCGCAAUGCUACCAUGUAACACCUACAACAUUGACGAACAUGAAGCUUUUCACACAUUCAUAACCAGUAAAAGACCAACAACCCAAAAGUUUGAAACUGGAGUCAAUUAGUAAGCAAUCUAAAAUAUAAGUACCCUCAAAUGAAAGAAACAAAAAAUCAAGAACACAAGGAGCAAACUAUUUAAUAAAUAUCGGGGAUACUGCAAAUAUAGUCAUUAGCUUAGAUACAGAGAGAGAUACCUAUGUUAAUCAGAUCUACUUCAGUGUUUUGGAAACAUGUCAAAACGGAUAAAAUCACAUCCGUUGAAGAGUUAUAAAUUGCAAAAUUUAAGAAGAAAAAAAAAAGCACACAAAUCGAGAGAGAAAACAACUUACGGGCCAGCCGGAAAAGGCCACAAUCCCAGCAGUCAACAAGCCACCAAACUGUGGAAGAAAGAGAUAUGUCAAGGAUAAACAAGACGAAGUCAGUACCUUCGUUAGAGCAUCAAAUCAAAGACUUGAAAUGGCGGCGACUUUGUGCCAUAUCCUGAGUAUCCAUCGAUCUCCUAGGUUUCUUCUUACACAAUUAACAUUUGACCAGAGAGAUGGGUCUUAUUCGCUUUACGCCCAACGGCGUCCUUGUAUUGUGUGCUGUUCUCUCAACCGAAAUAUCGCUUCUUUAGAGGUUACUUUUGUCCUAAAAGAAUUUAACCUCUUCUCUUCUCAGGUUGAUUUUGAUGCUCCUCUAGUUCUUCUUCAGUAAACUCUGAUGAGUUUCUCGGACAAUUGCAUGAUUGGAAAAUAUAACUAUAGUUUAGGAUUGGAACUCUUAGAGCACCAUUAACACAGUAUCUUAUGCAUGUCUCUUAGGCUAAUUAUGAUUUAAAAAAAAUAGAAAAAUAGAAAACGCUGAAGACACGUCUCUUAUUCUGGCUCAGCAAGGGACGUCUCUUAUGGACAGCUG